GAAAUGCGAUACCUGGUGUGAAUUGCAGAAUCCCGCGAACCAUCGAGUCUUUGAACGCAAGUUGCGCCCGAGGCCAUUCGGCCGAGGGCACGCCUGCCUGGGCGUCACGCAAAACACGCUCCCACCCCCUCAUCGGGGAGCGGGACGCGGCAUGUGGCCCCCCGUCGCUCAAGGGGCGGUGGGCCGAAGAUAUGGCUGCCGGUGUAUCGUGCCGGACACAGCGCGUGGUGGGCGACCUCGCUUUACUUCCGCAGUGCAUCCGACACGUAGCCGACGUGAUUGCCUCGAAGGACCCUAUGAACGGUGCGCACGACGCUCCGACCGCGACCCCAGGUCAGGCGGGACUACCCGCUGAAUUUAA
RNAcentral lists this unclassified non-coding RNA (361 nucleotides) under uncultured fungus. RNAcentral describes it as "sequence contains ITS1". The stretch from base 1 to 107 matches the Rfam family "5.8S ribosomal RNA", at positions 50 to 154 of the family's 154-position model. Lineage: Eukaryota; Fungi. The record is from RNAcentral.